This 361-nucleotide RNase P RNA is filed under the name Desulfobulbaceae bacterium. RNAcentral describes it as "RNase P RNA component class A". It matches the Rfam family "Bacterial RNase P class A". From Rfam's summary of the family: Ribonuclease P (RNase P) is a ubiquitous endoribonuclease, found in archaea, bacteria and eukarya as well as chloroplasts and mitochondria. RNAcentral also lists the same sequence under 1 other name. The record is from RNAcentral. Lineage: Bacteria; Pseudomonadati; Thermodesulfobacteriota; Desulfobulbia; Desulfobulbales; Desulfobulbaceae.
UGGAGUGGGUGCAUGAUCGCUGGUUCGCUUUAUGCGGACGAGAGGAAAGUCCGAACUUCACAGGGCAUGGUGGUUCGUAACGCGAACUUCGGGUGACCGGAGGAAAGUGCCACAGAAAACAUACCGCCCCGCUUGCCGGGGUAAGGGUGAAAAGGCGAGGUAAGAGCUCACCGCUUCCAUGGUGACAUGGAAGGCAGGGCAAACCCCACCAGAAGCAAGAUCAAAUAGGGAAACGUUUGAGGGCUGCCCGUCCGAUGUUUCCGGGUAGAUUGCUGGAGGUGCCGGGUGACCGGCAUCCAAGAUAAAUGAUCAUGGCCCGCCUGGCGGGAUACAGAAUUCGGCUUAUAACCCACUCCAAUUU